AGAGUUUGAUCCUGGCUCAGGACGAACGCUGGCGGCGUGCCUAACACAUGCAAGUCGAGCGGAGAUGUACUGAAGAUUUAUCGGAUGUACAUCUUAGCGGCGGACGGGUGAGUAACGCGUGGGCAACCUGCCUUCCACUGGGGGAUAACACAGGGAAACCUGUGCUAAUACCGCAUGACAUCACAUAGGGCAUCCUGUGUGAUCAAAGGAGUGAUCCGGUGGAAGAUGGGCCCGCGUCCGAUUAGCUAGUUGGUGAGGUAACGGCUCACCAAGGCGACGAUCGGUAGCCGGACUGAGAGGUUGGCCGGCCACAUUGGGACUGAGACACGGCCCAGACUCCUACGGGAGGCAGCAGUGGGGAAUAUUGCGCAAUGGGGGGAACCCUGACGCAGCGACGCCGCGUGAAGGAAGAAGGCCUUCGGGUUGUAAACUUCUUUGAUAGGGACGAAGGAAGUGACGGUACCUCAAAAACAAGCCACGGCUAACUACGUGCCAGCAGCCGCGGUAAUACGUAGGUGGCGAGCGUUGUCCGGAAUUACUGGGUGUAAAGGGC
This 553-nucleotide ribosomal RNA is filed under the name uncultured bacterium. RNAcentral's name for it is "bacterial SSU rRNA". It matches the Rfam family "Bacterial small subunit ribosomal RNA", at positions 8 to 568 of the family's 1533-position model. The record is from RNAcentral.